CAAGUAAAAAGAGUAAAAAAAAAGAGAGUAUUUGAUUCAACAGUGUAGAAAUUUCAUUAUUGAUAAUAUUUUAUCUUACCAUUUUGUUAAUCCUGGCAGGAAAUAUAUGAAAUCAUUUCAUUUCAAUUAAAUUUAAUGAUUAUGGGAAAAUAAAUAAUAAUAGUAAUAAAAUCAAGCAAUUUAUUACAGAAAGCUGAAAAUAAAACAAAAUGAAAAAUAUCGAGAUAAUGAAAAGUAAUUAAAAUUUAAAAUUUAAAAAUAUUUUUGAAUUAGAUAGUAAAACAAACAGAUCUGGGCUGCACAUUGUAAGAAUUCAUUUUAGAUAUCGUUUUUCCAUCAGUAUUGUACAUUUUCUUUUUUCAUUAUUCAAAUCUAAUAAAGAUGAAAUAAAUUUUUGGAUGAUCCAAGAAAGAGAAGAAAUUGCUUAGUUGAAUUUCAUUAUUUGAAUUCCAAAACACUUUCAAUUAAACAUGGCAAAUGCUCAAAAUCAUUUUUCUAUUAUUUUCCUAUUAAAUUUUAUAGGAGAAAGUGAUUACUGUUUGUCUGGUGUUUUACAGAUAUUUGAAACCGGUAAAAGAAAUGGAUCAAUAUUUUCUGUCAAAUCAUUUCUUAAAAAUAUAUAAUUAAAUUAAAAAAAAAAAAACCCCAAAAAUUCAAGGAAAAUAACUCUUAUUUGUCUGUCCGUGGUUAUCUCCCGUAGAAACACUCUCUGAUGAUGUACGUCUCUGAAUGCAAAAGAGACUAUGUUAAGAUUUUGCUACUGGGUAAAGAAAACUAUGUUCCGGAGUAGUCAUUUGUUUUAGUAACUGGUAUUAGCAUAUCUUCAAAAUACAAUCUUCAGGUAAGGGGGCUUCAAUAUUACUGACAACUGAACUGAUAAUAAGCCUCUCUAUAAAAUCUUGAAAAUGUUUACGUCAGAUCUUCCUGCUGUUUAACUUACAUGAGAAGGCAUAUAUCAUCAAUGUUUUUUAACACUUAUGUUAAAACAUUUAUGUAGAAGCUUAGAUAUUUUUGUGGCUAUUCAGAAGUUCGCAAAACUUCAAAUUUUUUUGUCAUUUUUUUGCCUGAAACAUUGUCAUUUUUUUGCCAGCAGGUUUGGGCAGUAUUUGAUUUUAGGAUAAACUUGAUUAGAAAUAUGCCUUCAGUGAGACAUUUGUAGUCAAUGUCAGUUUUAAUAUAGUCUAAAAAAAA
Octopus sinensis (East Asian common octopus) is the source of this 1191-nucleotide long non-coding RNA. RefSeq lists it as uncharacterized. NCBI's taxonomy places the organism in Eukaryota, Metazoa, Mollusca, Cephalopoda, Octopoda, Octopodidae. The record is from RefSeq and is a predicted model, not a curated record. The transcript has 2 exons.